Cannabis sativa is the source of this 425-nucleotide long non-coding RNA. RefSeq lists it as uncharacterized. Lineage: Eukaryota; Viridiplantae; Streptophyta; Magnoliopsida; Rosales; Cannabaceae. The record is from RefSeq and is a predicted model, not a curated record. The transcript has 2 exons.
UCUAGCUUAUCUCUAAGGUCUAAUGCUGAAUAUUAUAUUUAAUUACAAAUAAAUUGGCAUUAUCUGAAAGGUUAGAAAAUUAGAAACAAACUUUCAUCUUUCUCUCUCUCCCUUAGGAAACCCAAAAGAGAUAAACUCUUCUCUCCUAAUUCAGACCAAAUUUUAGAGUGAUUGUAGCAAGGAUUCAAGUGUUAUUGAAGGGAUAACCUAAGGUAAGAGCUAGAAAUGAACUGGAACAAGUCUAAAACUGGAUGAAGAUUGUAAAUAUCAAGACGAUUAGACCUAGAGAGUUCAGGAUCUUUGAGACAGUUUAGGCUCACUUUUUGUUGAUCAUUGGGCAACAACUUAUGUAUUAUAUAUUUUGAAUAUAGUUGUAAACUUUUAACGAGAUCCCAGAGUUAUGUAAAUUAUGUUUGUUUAUUAAA